ACUUGACUCGUGGUGCUAUUUUAUUGGGAUUCGAAAAAAUAGCAAGUAGAAUUGGAUUAGUAUUUACUGAAUUUGUUCAAUAUAAAACAAAUAUGAAAAUAUCUCAAAUCAGAUGAGAUAUUUCAAGUAUUUGUGGAUUUCAAUGUUUAAUGUGGACCUUGGGGAAUGUUUAAUGUGGACCCCAUUCAUUACUGGUCAUGUUAUGAAUUUACUGGCCACAAUCUGACCUGAAUAGAUACAUUCAUAUUUCAGACAUUGGCUGAUCAACUUGGCCAAUGUGCAAAUUGCCCAGCCACUUCGUGAAUUGGCUGAUUUCAGGAAUUGGCCAUGACAUAUGUAAUGUAUGUUUUAAUCUAAAGCAAAUAUAUCUAGGAUCUAAUGAAUACAAUUAUAAGAUGCAUGCUAAUUAUCAGGUCCCAAUUAUUUUACAACAAAAAGAUUUAAACACUGCUUUCUUAUUACAAACAGUUCCAGAAACCAAAGCACUAUAGCAAAAGUGGAAGGUUAGCACGGCAUAACGUUUUCAGACUACUCGAGUCCCUCUUCAGU
RNAcentral lists this long non-coding RNA (549 nucleotides) under Androctonus crassicauda. Lineage: Eukaryota; Metazoa; Arthropoda; Arachnida; Scorpiones; Buthidae. The record is from RNAcentral.